This 247-nucleotide ribosomal RNA is filed under the name uncultured archaeon. RNAcentral's name for it is "partial 16S ribosomal RNA". It matches the Rfam family "Archaeal small subunit ribosomal RNA", at positions 691 to 937 of the family's 1478-position model. The record is from RNAcentral.
CCGACGGUGAGGGGCGAAACCCUGGGGCGCAAACCGGAUUAGAUACCCGGGUAGUCCAGGGCGUAAACGCUGCAGGCUUGGUGUUGGGGGCCCUACGUGGGCGCUCAGUGCCGGAGUGAAGAUGUUAAGCCUGCCGCUUGGGGAGUAUGUCCGCAAGGAUGAAACUUAAAGGAAUUGGCGGGAGAGCACAGCAACGGGAGGAGCGUGCGGUUCAAUUGGAUUCAACGCCGUAAAACUCACCGGGAGC